Corapipo altera (White-ruffed manakin) is the source of this 1291-nucleotide long non-coding RNA. RefSeq lists it as uncharacterized. The record is from RefSeq and is a predicted model, not a curated record. Lineage: Eukaryota; Metazoa; Chordata; Aves; Passeriformes; Pipridae. The transcript is spliced from 3 exons.
CCCUCCGCCUCCAUCCCCGGCUCCGCAGGGCCUCGCCGGUCCGGCCCUUCCCUUCCCGAGAUUCCGAUCCCGGGAAGCAGCGCCGCCGCAGACCCCCGGCCCCUUCCCGCCGCCCGCCAUUUGCUGCCCUCAGGCGUCCGCGCCAUUUCCCCCCCUCCUGACCCCGCUCCCCUCGGGAGAGACCCUCGGCACCCGGGAGCCUCCAAACCUCGGACAGCUCCGGCCCCGGGCGGCGUCGACCAGCCCCCGCUCCCCACUGGCACCUCCAGGCCGUUCCGCUCCCCCCCCUCCCACCGCAUCCCAGGAGCUACAGCUGCUCCCCCUUCCCGGCUUCAGGAAUUUUAACUUACAGACAGGCGUAGUUCCAAGUUCCUCCAUCUGUGUGCCUUUGACCUGAUUGUCCUGUAUGAGAUCCUGGUGCAUCUGUUCCACAGUUACCUGUGCAGGAUCCACCUGUACCUGAAUUACUGGUUUGUUUAGGCUCCUUUCAAGGUAGAAUUGUAGAAAACAUCUUCUGUUUAAGAAUAUUUGCAUCCCACGCCAGAACAACAAGAUACCAUCAUAGUCCGUUGGAGAAGCUCCAAAGACAAUGUGUGCCAUGAAGAAGAGGAAGACAAGGAAGAAAGGGCUCUCAGGAUCCUGACUCAAUUUCUGGAGAGGCAUGCUGGGGGCAGAUUUGGGGAGGAACUGGGGGGCAGAUAGUUCUGGGAUUGGAUGGACAAUACUAUAACAUUGCAGAACCACUGGACACGGUGCGUGUGCAUCUUUUCUGUACUCCCAUGGUCAGAGGGGGCCUUCAUUAAAGACCCGCUCUAUUAUCUUAUCUCUAUUAAAUUUGCCUGGAGUUUUUUGGCUCCCGAUCUUUAGGCAACACCAGCAUAAGCUGGAAUUACUUUCCAGGUAAAGUCAGUAUGUGUGGUAUCAAAGAGAAUAAUAAUAAAAUAAAAAAUAAAAUAUUAUUUUGUAUUUUGAACUUUAGUGAAGCGUGGUCAGAAGUGGGAAGGGCCUAGGUCAGUGCAUCAAGAACCUUGAAAGGAAGCAGAAAGACCAGUAAAAGGCAGCCUUCCUGUAAGAAUCUAAUUAUAAGUAUUAUUAGGCUCCACAUGAGUAAUUCCACAUUUUAAAUGGAGCUACUUAGACAUAAGAAUUUACCUGCAUAUUGUGUUUGAAUGUGAUCUUUAUUUUACUGAAGUAGCUCUUGGAGACACAAGGCCACUCUCCUUGCCUUUCUUGUUCAGUUCCCCCACUCCCUCAAAGGAGGGAGGUAUCUAGCCUGGGACUCUGCUACUUC